AUACGGAGGAUCCGAGCGUUAUCCGGAUUUAUUGGGUUUAAAGGGUGCGCAGGCGGCCAUUUAAGUCAGCGGUUAAAUCGUGGGGCUCAACCCCAUUCUGCCGUUGAUACUGGGUGGCUUGAUUGCGGUCGAGGUUGGCGGAAUUCGAUGUGUAGCGGUGAAAUGCAUAGAUAUGACGAAGAACACCGAUUGCGUAGGCAGCUGACCAGACCGCAAAUGACGCUCAUGCACGAAAGUGCGGGGAUCGAACAGGAUUAGAUACCCUGGUAGUCCGCACAGUAAACGAUGAAUACUUGUUUUCGGCGAUAUAAUGUCGGAGGCAAAGCGAAAGCGAUAAGUAUUCCACCUGGGGAGUACGCCGGCAACGGUGAAACUCAAAUGAAUUGACGGGG
Molecule: ribosomal RNA, 392 nt
Filed under: uncultured bacterium
Lineage: Bacteria
Description: partial 16S ribosomal RNA
Rfam family: Bacterial small subunit ribosomal RNA
Source: RNAcentral